Molecule: long non-coding RNA, 125 nt
Organism: Octopus sinensis (East Asian common octopus)
Lineage: Eukaryota; Metazoa; Mollusca; Cephalopoda; Octopoda; Octopodidae
Exons: 2
Source: RefSeq, a predicted model, not a curated record
GAUCUGUGAAAGAGUAGACCUGGAUGGGAUGCACUUAGGUUUUGUCCCCAGAAGAGGCACCAUACAUGCUAUCUUUCUUGUGAGAACUAUAAUGAAUAACACUAUUUGUUCACAAAUUGUGGUUU